UACGGAGGGUACAAGCAUUAAUCGGAAUUACUGGGCGUAAAGGGCGCGUAGGCGGAUUUGUAAGUCGGAUGUGAAAUUCCAAAACUCAAUUUUGGAGCUGCAUUUGAAACUACAAAUCUCGAGGUAUGGCGGAGAAAGUGGAAUUCCUGGUGUAGCGGUGAAAUGCGUAGAUAUCAGGAGGAACACCUGUGGCGAAAGCGGCUCACUGGACCACAACUGACGCUGAGGCGCGAAAGCUAGGGGAGCAAACAGG
Molecule: ribosomal RNA, 253 nt
Filed under: uncultured bacterium
Lineage: Bacteria
Description: partial 16S ribosomal RNA
Rfam family: Bacterial small subunit ribosomal RNA
Source: RNAcentral